This 376-nucleotide ribosomal RNA is filed under the name Gammaproteobacteria bacterium. Its description in RNAcentral is "bacterial SSU rRNA". It matches the Rfam family "Bacterial small subunit ribosomal RNA", at positions 1 to 373 of the family's 1533-position model. The record is from RNAcentral. Lineage: Bacteria; Pseudomonadati; Pseudomonadota; Gammaproteobacteria.
AAAGUGAAGAGUUUGAUCCUGGCUCAGAUUGAACGCUGGCGGCAUGCCUAACACAUGCAAGUCGAACGGAAACGAUUAAGAGCUUGCUCUUAAGGCGUCGAGUGGCGGACGGGUGAGGAAUGCAUAGGAAUCUGCCCAGUAGCGGGGGACAACCUGGGGAAACUCAGGCUAAUACCGCAUACGCCCUACGGGGGAAAGCAGGGGAUCUUCGGACCUUGCACUAUUGGAUGAGCCUAUGCCUGAUUAGCUUGUUGGUGGGGUAACGGCCUACCAAGGCGACGAUCAGUAGCUGGUCUGAGAGGACGAUCAGCCACACUGGGACUGAGACACGGCCCAGACUCCUACGGGAGGCAGCAGUGGGGAAUAUUGCACAAUG